Molecule: ribosomal RNA, 442 nt
Filed under: uncultured bacterium
Lineage: Bacteria
Description: partial 16S ribosomal RNA
Rfam family: Bacterial small subunit ribosomal RNA
Source: RNAcentral
CCUACGGGAGGCAGCAGUGGGGGAUAUUGCACAAUGGGGGAAACCCUGAUGCAGCGACGCCGCGUGGGCGAAGAAGUAGUUCGGUAUGUAAAGCUCUAUCAGCAGGGAAGAAGAAAUGGCGGUACCUGAGUAAGAAGCACCGGCUAAAUACGUGCCAGCAGCCGCGGUAAUACGUAUGGUGCAAGCGUUAUCCGGAUUUACUGGGUGGAAAGGGAGCGCAGGCGGGACGGGAAGGCUGAUGUGAAACCCCGCGGCGCAACCGCGGGACUGCAUUGGGAACUACCGGGCUGGAGUGCCGGAGAGGUAGGCGGAAUUCCUAGUGUAGCGGUGAAAUGCGUAGAUAUUAGGAGGAACACCAGUGGCGAAGGCGGCCUACUGGACGGUGACUGACGCUGAGGCUCGAAAGCGUGGGGAGCAAACAGGAUUAGAUACCCCAGUAGUC